CAUGCAAGUCGAACGGCAGCACAGAAGAGCUUGCUCUUUGGGUGGCGAGUGGCGGACGGGUGAGUAAUGUCUGGGAAACUGCCCGAUGGAGGGGGGUAACUACUGGAAACGGUAGCUAAUACCGCAUAACGUCGCAAGACCAAAGAGGGGGACCUUCGGGCCUCUUGCCAUCAGAUGUGCCCAGAUGGGAUUAGCUAGUAGGUGGGGUAACGGCUCACCUAGGCGACGAUCCCUAGCUGGUCUGAGAGGAUGACCAGCCACACUGGAACUGAGACACGGUCCAGACUCCUACGGGAGGCAGCAGUGGGGAAUAUUGCACAAUGGGCGCAAGCCUGAUGCAGCCAUGCCGCGUGUAUGAAGAAGGCCUUCGGGUUGUAAAGUACUUUCAGCGGGGAGGAAGGCGAUAAGGUUAAUAACCUUGUCGAUUGACGUUACC
Molecule: ribosomal RNA, 436 nt
Filed under: uncultured Klebsiella sp.
Lineage: Bacteria; Pseudomonadati; Pseudomonadota; Gammaproteobacteria; Enterobacterales; Enterobacteriaceae
Description: bacterial SSU rRNA
Rfam family: Bacterial small subunit ribosomal RNA
Source: RNAcentral